CUUUGAUAGCUUGUGUGUUCUCCUCUGCAAUACCUGUUUGCCAUCCCUGCCUUGGAGCCAGAUGAUUAUGGACUGAAACCUCUACAAACUAUGCUGGACAGCAGCAGUGAAGCUCCCAGGAGCUACAAGAACACAAGGGGAGUGGCAUCACCCCUUCUGCAGCUGUCCACCCCGUUGUUCCCUCACUAUGACUGGGAGGUGAAUAUAAUCUACUUACUUGAGCUUUCUGAAGCAAAGCCUGCUCCCUCAUUGCUGGUGUCAAGAGGUCUGCUGCCCUCUCUUCUCUUCUAAGAAGAUUGUGGGGAGAGAAACUCAAGCCUCAGAAGGCCCUAAUGUAACAAUCCUAUGCUCCUUUUUGGACCUGAAAAGAACCUGCACACUACAGUAGAGCAUUCAGGUGCAAGCAUCAAAAUGUCAUGAUCCUAAUGAAGGCUUAGACUGUAGACAUCCUUGGAUCAUCCUUAUCCAUCUCCUGAGGAAAAGCAGCUUCUAAAGAAGUGAACUUACUGGCUUCAGAAAUUGUGGGGAAGCUGAGCAGUGUCUUAGAUGCACAGUGAAAAGAGAUGACAGUCACUAAUGGAGGAUGCAUUCAUGCUAAUAAGAUUGCCACUAACAUGAGAUGAAGUUGCGAUUUCUGCAUAUAAAUAAGGAAUCGAACUCAGGACCUUGCAUUUGUGAGGCAGGUGCAGUGCCACUGAGCUAAAUUCCAGGCCUGGAAUAGUUAUUUGUGGAACAAUCCAACUGCCUAGGGAAGUUAUCCUUUACAAUGGUAUCCAUCGUUUGCAGUGUGAUACACAGGUAGUUCUGAGAGGGUAAGGAACUCUUUUUGGC
RNAcentral lists this long non-coding RNA (831 nucleotides) under Heterocephalus glaber (naked mole-rat). Its description in RNAcentral is "lncRNA (ENSHGLG00000039840.1)". The record is from RNAcentral. Lineage: Eukaryota; Metazoa; Chordata; Mammalia; Rodentia; Bathyergidae.